CCCGCUGAACUUAAGCAUAUCAAUAAGCGGAGGAAAAGAAACUAACAAGGAUUCCCCUAGUAACUGCGAGUGAAGCGGGAAGAGCUCAAAUUUGAAAUCUGGCGGUCCCUUGGGCUGUCCGAGUUGUAAUCUAGAGAAGUGCUACCUGUGCUGGACCGUGUACAAGUCUCCUGGAAUGGAGCAUCACAGAGGGUGAGAAUCCCGUCUUUGACACGGACUGCCAUGUGCGAUAUGGUGCGCUCUCGAAGAGUCGAGUUGUUUGGGAAUGCAGCUCAAAACGGGUGGUAAAUGCCAUCUAAAGCUAAAUAUUGGCGAGAGACCGAUAGCGAACAAGUACCGUGAGGGAAAGAUGAAAAGAACUUUGGAAAGAGAGUUAAACAGUACGUGAAAUUGCUGAAAGGGAAACGCUUGAAGCCAGUCGCGUCGGCUGGAAAUCAGUCUUGCUUCUGCUUGACGUACUUUCUGGUUCGACGGGUCAGCAUCAGUUUUGACCGCCGGAUAAAGUCGUUGGGAAUGUGGCAUCUUCAUGAUGUGUUAUAGCCCGUCGUCGCAUACGGUGGUCGGGAUUGAGGAACUCAGCACGCCGCAAGGCCGGGUCGUUUCGACCACGUUCGUGCUUAGGAUGCUGGCAUAAUGGCUUUAAUCGACCCGUCUUGAAACACGG
This 664-nucleotide ribosomal RNA is filed under the name uncultured fungus. RNAcentral's name for it is "eukaryotic LSU rRNA". It matches the Rfam family "Eukaryotic large subunit ribosomal RNA", at positions 24 to 664 of the family's 3401-position model. The record is from RNAcentral. Lineage: Eukaryota; Fungi.